CCUACGGGGGGCAGCAGUGGGGAAUAUUGGGCAAUGGACGCAAGUCUGACCCAGCAACGCCGCGUGAAGGAAGAAGGCUUUCGGGUUGUAAACUUCUUUUAAGGGGGAAGAGCAGAAGACGGUACCCCUUGAAUAAGCCACGGCUAACUACGUGCCAGCAGCCGCGGUAAUACGUAGGGGGCAAGCGUUAUCCGGAUUUACUGGGUGUAAAGGGGGCGCAGACGGCAGCGCAAGCCAGGAGUGAAAGCCCGGGGCCCAACCCCGGGACUGCUCUUGGAACUGCGCGGCUGGAGUGCAGGAGGGGCAGGCGGAAUUCCUGGUGUAGCGGUGAAAUGCGUAGAUAUCAGGAGGAACACCGGUGGCGAGGGCGGCCUGCUGGACUGCGACUGACGUUGAGGCCCGAAAGCGUGGGGAGCAAACAGGAUUAGAUACCCCAGUAGUC
Molecule: ribosomal RNA, 442 nt
Filed under: uncultured bacterium
Lineage: Bacteria
Description: partial 16S ribosomal RNA
Rfam family: Bacterial small subunit ribosomal RNA
Source: RNAcentral